AUACCAUGAUGGGGGCACUUCCUUAACAGCUCUUCAAAUCUCUCACAUGCAUCAUAUAGCAAUUCCCUUUCAGUCUGGUAGAAAUUAUUAAUAUCCCCUCUCAACUU
Humulus lupulus (European hop) is the source of this 107-nucleotide small nucleolar RNA. NCBI's taxonomy places the organism in Eukaryota, Viridiplantae, Streptophyta, Magnoliopsida, Rosales, Cannabaceae. The record is from RefSeq and is a predicted model, not a curated record.